This 375-nucleotide ribosomal RNA is filed under the name uncultured bacterium. Its description in RNAcentral is "bacterial SSU rRNA". It matches the Rfam family "Bacterial small subunit ribosomal RNA", at positions 28 to 407 of the family's 1533-position model. The record is from RNAcentral.
GAUAAACGCUGGCGGCGUGCCUAAUGCAUGCAAGUCGCACGGUACCAUCACUUCGGUGGUGGUGAGUGGCGAACGGGUGAGGAACACGUGGCCAACCUACCCCGGCGUGGGGGAUACCCACCAGAAAUGGUGGCUAAUACCGCGUACGGUCCACGGGCUGCGGCUCGUGGAAGAAAGCAGUGAUGCGCGCUGGGAGGGGGCUGCGGCCGAUUAUGCUUGUGGUGGGAAUGGCUUACCAAGGCGAUGAUCGGUAGCGGGUCUGAGAGGAUGAUCCGCCACACGGGGACUGAGACACGGGUCCAGACACCUACGGGUGGCAGCAGUCGAGAAUUUUCUCAAUGGGGGCAACCCUGAAGGAGCGACGCCGCGUGGAGG